GUGCUCCCUUUGGCAGCACAUAUACUAAAAUUGGAACGAUACAGAGAAGAUUGGCACAGCCCCCGCACAAGGAUGACAUGCAAAUUCACGAAGCAUUAAAAAAAUUA
This is a small nuclear RNA of Aotus nancymaae (Ma's night monkey), 107 nucleotides long. Lineage: Eukaryota; Metazoa; Chordata; Mammalia; Primates; Aotidae. The record is from Ensembl.